Medicago truncatula (barrel medic) is the source of this 1500-nucleotide long non-coding RNA. RefSeq lists it as uncharacterized. The record is from RefSeq and is a predicted model, not a curated record. Lineage: Eukaryota; Viridiplantae; Streptophyta; Magnoliopsida; Fabales; Fabaceae. The transcript has 3 exons.
UGGUAUACAUCAUAUUCAUCGUAGUUCGCCUUUGGCGUUUCAGGAGAGUUAUAGUUUCGAUUUCAUGGUUGGAGGCAAAAAAUCCAAAAUGGUUUGAAUGGACUCCGUUUAUAAAGUUUAUCUGGGUUAUCCUUUUAAAUAUGCACAUGUGGGGGUGUAUAUAUUAUCUUAUUGCUUCAAUAGACCCUGAUGAAGGAAUGUCAUGGACUAGUGGAAAGAAAGAUUUCUUCAAGCAGACGUUCAAAACAAAAUAUGUGACCUCCACGUAUUUUGCAAUGACCAUAUAUUCAACAGUUGGUUUUGGAGAUUAUCAUGCCUGCAGUGUUGCAGAGAUGAUCACUUGUAUGAUCAACAUGAUAACAAAUACGGGGUUAAGUGCACAAGUGCUCGAACAGUUUAUAGAGUUGGUCAACGAAAGGAGAAGGCGCAAGAAGAAAUCUGUGAGUAAAACUUUUAUAAUUUUCACCAAUUUUUAGUUAAACUGCAAUUUAGUUCGUAGCUUCAUUAACAAUGUAGUGCAAGGGCCGGGAAUCGAACCUCAAAUUUCUCAUUUCUCCACACUUGUCGUGUGUAACUCUAACCAUUAGACUAUUUGACAAAAAAAAGUUGAGCAUAUGUAGUGUACAUGUCUACAUAGUUGUAGAACUGGAAAAUAAUUUUCUAAAUAUUGUUUCAAAUGGUUUUUUUGGCUUAAAUAUACUUUUGAUCUCUUAACUUUUAAAAAGUUAUGAAUUUUGCCCACUAUAAAAAAAAUAACGCGAGGCCAAAAUUACUUUUUUUUUUUUUUUUAAGAUAUGGGGUAAAAGAGCAUAUUUUCCUACAAACAGAGGGUUAAAAUUGCUUUUUUUUUUUACAACUUUUUGUAAAGUUAGGGGGCAAAAUUGUUUUUUUAAAGGGGCCAAAAUCACAACUUUUUAAAAAUUAAAGGGUAAAAAAUGUAUUAUAUCGUAAGUAGUUUAGAGACUUUUAAGUGUUAAUAUAGGCUCUAGAAAUUAGCUUGAUGUGCAAAUGACGGAUUUAUCAGAGCUCUCAAAGCUAGGAGGUUGACUCAAAGACUUCCUCCUCAAGUGUCCCGUUUAGGAAAGCAUUGUUUUGUCCAGUUUUUGUUGCCAACCUUUGGAGAGUGAAAGAGUCAAUAUAGUUGUGACAAUUACAUGGGUUGAAAACUGAUGAAAAAGCCUCGGUGUAAUCAUAACCAUACCUCUGAUGAAAACCCUUCAACUAUGUUGCAUUCUUUAAUAUAGAAUUAUAUUCAUCAUCCAUAGCAGAACCAAGUAGGGUGUGACAGGGCAUGAUUGAGGUGAGAUAUUGGAGCCACAUAAGAUGAGUUUCAAGGAGUGGUUGUUGGAUUGAUAGUGGCUACACAUAGCUUGAGAAUUCUAUAAGGUCAAGCUUUGUGGCAUAGGAGCAGAGUUUCAAUCUCCUCUGUGGAGUCAAAUUUGCCACUAAUGAGAGAAAUUGUGGACUCGCCUAUAGCAUUGAUUAGAGACUGAGUAUUUG